This 562-nucleotide ribosomal RNA is filed under the name uncultured bacterium. RNAcentral describes it as "partial 16S ribosomal RNA". It matches the Rfam family "Bacterial small subunit ribosomal RNA", at positions 355 to 1376 of the family's 1533-position model. The record is from RNAcentral.
UUAGGAAUAUUGGACAAUGGGCGCAAGCCUGAUCCAGCCAUGCCGCGUGAGUGAUGAAGGCCUUCGGGUUGUAAAACUCUUUAGCCGAUGAUUAUAAUGACUGUAGUCGGAAAAUAAGCCCCGGCUAACUUCGUGCCAGCAGCCGCGGUAAUACGAAGGGGGCGAGCGUUAUUCGGAAUCACUGGGCGUAAAGCGUGCGUAGGCGGUUUAGUAAGUUAGGAGUGAAAGCCCAGGGCUUAACCUUGGAAUUGCUCUUAAAACUACUAGACUUGAAUCUCGGAGAGGAUAGCGGAAUUUCCAGUGUAGCAGUGAAAUGCGUAGAUAUUGGAAGGAACACCAGUGGCGUAAGCGGCUAUCUGGACGAGUAUUGACGCUGAGGCACGAAAGCGUGGGGAUCAAACAGGAUUAGAUACCCUGGUGGUCCACGCCGUAAACGAUGUGUGCUUGUCGCUGGGGAGUUCACUCUUCGGUGACGCAGCUAACGCGUUAAGCACACCGCCUGGGGAAGUACGGCCGCAAGGUUAAAACUCAAAUGAAUUGACGGGGUCAUAGCUGUUUCCUG